RNAcentral lists this ribosomal RNA (270 nucleotides) under Triticum aestivum (bread wheat). RNAcentral describes it as "partial small subunit ribosomal RNA". The record is from RNAcentral. Lineage: Eukaryota; Viridiplantae; Streptophyta; Magnoliopsida; Poales; Poaceae.
AUGACGCUUCUGAGCUGGAACUGCCGGGGCCUCGGGCAGCCCUGGACAGUUCAAGAAUUGGUGUGUCUGGUGCACACCUACAAGCCAAAGCUCGUUUUUCUUUCAGAGACACGGCAAAAAAAAGUAAGCAGCCUAUGAUGGAGACUAGGCCUGAAACACUGCACCACCCAUGCUGGCGUAGGAAAAGGAGCCGGCAUAGCUUUGUAUUAUGAUGAAAGCGUGGAAGUAAUAAAACUUGCCGUGGGUUUGAGAUACAUUGAUGUGUUGAUU